CAACAUUUCCUCUCCACAGGUACAUUUACCUGAUUGUCUUCAUAUUUAGGAUGAGAAUCUACUGACAAAGUGUGUUAAAAUGGCUGCUGGGGGAGGAACUUCACUUCUGGGAGUGAUAAUAUGGCUGCCCCCAUACAGAAUAAGCAUGUGGCAGAGACUAGCAGCCUCAUGGAAAGAGAGAGAGAGAGAAAAAAAAGCAUGGAAUGAAGAAAGAGCUGUACUCACUAUUCUGCGGAUGAGGUCACUGUGUACAUACAUUACAUUACUUAUCCUGUACUGAUCCUGAGUUAU
Molecule: long non-coding RNA, 291 nt
Organism: Hyla sarda
Lineage: Eukaryota; Metazoa; Chordata; Amphibia; Anura; Hylidae
Exons: 3
Source: RefSeq, a predicted model, not a curated record